RNAcentral lists this ribosomal RNA (471 nucleotides) under Triticum aestivum (bread wheat). RNAcentral's name for it is "partial small subunit ribosomal RNA". Lineage: Eukaryota; Viridiplantae; Streptophyta; Magnoliopsida; Poales; Poaceae. The record is from RNAcentral.
AUGGCGGAGGAACCGUCCGCCAAGCGUCACCAUGGUGAGACUUCGAACAAGAGCAGCAACCUCGUCGACAUUCACGUCCCCGGCGAGAAGUGCGAGUACACCAAAACGCUCAAAGGGGUUGAACUCCACGACAAGGAGACGCUGGAGAUCGUCUGCACCAGCAUACCAGACAAGGCCGACGAGGUGAUGAGCAGGCUCAGGAUGAAGGGCGGUGGCUUGUAUCCGAGCUUCAUUGGAGUUGAUGUGGAGCCCAAGCGCCUCAAAGACAUCCUGCAGGAGGAGAAAUUGUACACAUUUGUCGGUUUCAGCAUUGGAGGUGACAAGCGGAUGCUGGAGAAGUCUGGUUUGGAAAUCAACCCAACAACUUCAUCGACAUGCAGCGCAAGUGGAAAGAUCCAAAGACCACCAAAUACUACGACUCCUUGGCCGAUGUUGCAGGCGGCAUCAUCCACCCAUUCUACGAAGGCAUGA